CACAAGCACCCUCCGAGCGCGGAGGUGGCCGAGCCCCGCAUCGACACCCGGGUUCGGCGGACCAGAGCAUUUCUUUAUAGUUCUGUGUUUUCAAAGUAGAGAUUUACUGAGCCUAUACCUUAUUCUGUGGACAAAAUUUCCAGUGUUUAGAUUUAAAAGUAGGGCUAAUGAGUCUAUCUAUACCUUCCCCAGCUUCAGCGAAUAAAAAGUGUCAAGGUUUAACGUUUUCUUUUUCUUUUCUUUUCUUUUAAAUUUUUCUGAAGUAGAAGCAAGGCUUGAAAAUGGAGAUGUAUGAAACCCUUGGAAAAGUGGGAGAGGGAAGUUACGGAACAGUCAUGAAAUGUAAACACAAAGAUACUGGGCAGAUAGUGGCCAUUAAGAUAUUCUAUGAGAAACCAGAAAAAUCUGUCAACAAGAUUGCCACGAGAGAAAUAAAGUUUCUAAAGCAAUUUCGUCAUGAAAACCUGGUCAAUCUUAUUGAAGUUUUUAAACAGAAAAGGAAAAUUCAUUUGGUGUUUGAAUUUAUUGACCACACCAUAUUAGAUGAGUUACAACAUUAUUGCCAUGGACUAGAGAGUAAACGACUUAGAAAAUACCUCUUUCAGAUCAUUCGAGCAGUUGACUAUCUUCACAAUAAUAAUAUUAUUCAUCGAGACAUAAAGCCUGAAAAUAUUUUAGUAUCCCAGUCAGGAAUUACUAAGCUCUGUGACUUUGGUUUUGCACGGACACUAGCAGGUCCUGGGGACAUUUACACAGACUAUGUGGCUACACGCUGGUAUAGAGCUCCAGAACUAGUGUUAAAAGAUACUUCUUACGGAAAACCUGUGGAUAUUUGGGCUUUGGGCUGUAUGAUCAUUGAGAUGGCCACUGGAAAUCCCCAUCUUCCCAGCAGUUCUGAUUUGGAUUUACUUCAUAGAAUAGUUUUAAAAGUAGGCAAUCUGACACCUCACUUGCAGAGUAUCUUUGCCAAGAGUCCCAUUUUUGAUGGAGUGAUACUUCCUCAAGUUCAACACCCCCAAAAUGCAAGGAAAAAAUACCCAAAGCUUAAUGGAUUGUUGGCAGAUAUGGUUCAUGCUUGUUUACAAAUUGAUCCUGCUGAGAGGAUAUCAUCUCAUGAUCUUUUGCAUCAUGAAUAUUUUACUAGAGAUGGUUUUGUUGAAAAAUUCUUACCAGAGCUGAGAGCUAAAUUACUACAAGAAGCAAAACUCAAUUCAUUUAUGAAGACAAAGGAUAUUCCUAAAGAAAAUGAAUUAAUGAGAGAAGAAAGAAAAACAAAUUUUAAUAAUACAAUGAUAAAUAAUUCACACUUUGGAAAGGAAACAGAAAAAGAGAAAAAGAGUAAGGACAUCAGAAUCAGAGUUUUUAAAAUCAAAGGAGGAAAAGGAGAUACCUCAGAACUGAAAAAGUUAGAAUAUGAAAGUGUUCAUCGUCAACAGGAUGCAAUUGACAAUGCUCAUGCUACAUGUCUAGAUACAAAACCUGUAAUCAUUGAACCACCAAACUCUGUCAAUCCCAGCACUAAUGCUAAUGGUAUGAAAGAAGAUUCAUAUGCUGGAGGUUGUAUGAUAAUGCCACCUAUCAACCUUACAAAUAAUUUGAUGGCUGCAAACUCCAAUCUAAAUAUCCCUUACUCUAAUCCCAGGUUAGGUGAAAGAGCAAAAAAGAAACAGACUACUGGCCAAGUUAUAUCUAAUAACAGACAAGAGGACACAGGUCCAACUCAAAACCAAAUGGAGAAGGGUGUUUUUAAUGAGAGAACUGGUCAAAUUGACCAAAUAGCAAAUGGGAACAAAAGGAAGCUGAAUUUUUCCAGAUGUGACAGGAAGGAAUUCCAUUUCCCUGAAUUGCCAUUAAUACAGCCAAAGGACAUUAAAGUUAAACAGAUAAAAAUGCUCAAGAGGGAGUCAAAGAAAACAGAUUCGCCUAAAAUACCAACUUUGCUUAAUGUGGAUCAAAAUCAAGAAAAGUAAAAGGAAAUGCACAAACUGAAAGGAAGAGGAACCUGCAAGAUGUAGAUAGAAAAUGCAGCAGCUGAAAAUUCAGGGAAUCCCAGAAUCACUGGUGGAGAUGACCUUUGUGAGGAGAGGAAUUUAAAGAGGAACUGAUUUUUUUUUCUGGAAGAAAAGGCAAUAAGAAUCAUGAAGGAACCCCUCUUCAAAAUUUGAGAAGUAAAUCUAUUUGCUGCAAGAGAUGAAUAAUAUUUGGUGGUCUCCAAAAUGUAUACUACAUAGAUCUCUAUGCAGAGCCUAAUUGGCUGGUCCACACUUCUUGUGUGUUAAUCUCUGGUAAAGACUGAGUUUCUAAGGCCUAAAAAGGCAGUCUUGUUCUUCAGAAAUGCAGCAUGCCCUCUGCCUUCCUUCCAUUCAGCCUGUCUUUCCUCUCAUAAGGGUCAGACCUGUGUUGCAAUCGUAAAAUUUCUAGCAUUCUCUGGAUCCUUUUUCAUUUUUCCUUACAGCAGUUUAAUACAUCUGUCAGGUCCCCUUCUUAGUUUCUGCUUUUUGGAGUACCCAAACUGGCAAAAAUAUACAUAGGGUGAAAUUUACAAGGCCAGCAAAAGAAAAUCUUCCAAAGGUCUGUAAGCUAAAUGCUUCUUAGAGAUAUCACAGUGCUUGGAGAAAACCAAGUUUGGUCUGAUUUGUUCAGUCAUGGAGCUUGAACUC
Perognathus longimembris pacificus (Pacific pocket mouse) is the source of this 2660-nucleotide RNA transcript. It is a transcript of the gene named cyclin dependent kinase like 3, with no coding region annotated. The record is from RefSeq and is a predicted model, not a curated record. The transcript has 14 exons. Lineage: Eukaryota; Metazoa; Chordata; Mammalia; Rodentia; Heteromyidae.